Molecule: ribosomal RNA, 852 nt
Filed under: Paragyromitra infula
Lineage: Eukaryota; Fungi; Ascomycota; Pezizomycetes; Pezizales; Discinaceae
Description: Gyromitra infula partial large subunit ribosomal RNA
Rfam family: Eukaryotic large subunit ribosomal RNA
Source: RNAcentral
GGGGAUUGCCUCAGUAACGGCGAGUGAAGCGGCAACAGCUCAAAUUUUAAAGCUGGCGUCUUCGACGCCCGCGUUGUAAUUUGGAGAGGCAUCUUCGGUUUGGGCGCCAGCCUAUGUUCCUUGGAACAGGACGUCACAGAGGGUGAGAAUCCCGUGCUUGGCUGGCUGUCCCUUGCCAUGUGAAGUGCCUUCGACGAGUCGAGUUGUUUGGGAAUGCAGCUCAAAAUGGGUGGUAAAUUCCAUCUAAAGCUAAAUAUUGGCGGGAGACCGAUAGCGCACAAGUAGAGUGAUCGAAAGAUGAAAAGCACUUUGAAAAUAGAGUUAAAAAGUACGUGAAAUUGUUGAAAGGGAAGCGCUUGAGACCAGACUCGGCCGGAGAUGAUCAGCCGUCCUUCUGGGCGGUGCACUUGUCUCCGGUCGGGCCAGCAUCGGUUGAGACGGCGGGAUAAAGGCCCGGGGAAUGUGGCUCCUUUCGGGGAGUGUUAUAGCCCCGGACGCAAUGCCGCCAGCCUCGACCGAGGACCGCGCUUUUUGCUAGGAUGCUGGCGUAAUGGUCUUCAGCGACCCGUCUUGAAACACGGACCAAGGAGUCUAACAUCUAUGCGAGUGUUUGGGUGUCAAACCCUUGCGCGUAAUGAAAGUGAACGGAGGUGGGAACCCCCUCGCGGGGCGCACCAUCGACCGGUCCUGAUGUCUUCGGAUGGAUCUGAGUAGGAGCAUAGCUGUUGGGACCCGAAAGAUGGUGAACUAUGCCUGAAUAGGGUGAAGCCAGAGGAAACUCUGGUGGAGGCUCGCAGCGGUUCUGACGUGCAAAUCGAUCGUCAAAUUUGGGUAUAGGGGCGAAAGACUAAU